GUCUAAUCUUAGACUAUCACAUAAUGAUAUAUGAUAUAAAAAAUAUAUAUUUUAGAUCUAAAAAUAAAAAUUAUAUCGACCUUAUCGAUGCUAAAAACCUAGAUCUAACUAUUAAAUCUAUCAGUAUGAUCAGAAUAAGUUAAAGAUUAUUACCAAACAAAUUUGAUGUUAGUCUCCUCUGAUCCAAUGGUUGGAGAAGGUAUUCCUCAGAUUGCUCGUAGCCACAUGAAGUCAUCUGACCUUUACAGAAAAUCCAUGCGAAGAUUGGUACAGAUCAGGGGCUUGGAGGUGCUAGUCUGCAAGCAACUUCGACAGCUGAUCUCUUCCUUCUUCUUCAAGCAAAUUAGACACUCCAAGUAACAGGAGAUCUGGAAGAGGAAGAGAGAAAGAGGAGAAGAGGCUCUGAAAAUAAAAACACCAGCAAGGGAGAAGAGAAGCAUGACACGAAAGAGGAGGACCACCCUUUUUAUAGACUAGGAAUUAGGGUUUCACCAAGGAAAGGGCACCAAGAGUCCAUGCCAAAACCACUUUUGGCAUCCCAAAAAAUUUCAGAAACAUCACUAUGGCAUAGAGA
RNAcentral lists this long non-coding RNA (574 nucleotides) under Elaeis guineensis (African oil palm). RNAcentral's name for it is "long non-coding RNA (EGUI_LNC070124)". The record is from RNAcentral. Lineage: Eukaryota; Viridiplantae; Streptophyta; Magnoliopsida; Arecales; Arecaceae.